GACGAACGCUGGCGGCGUGCUUAACACAUGCAAGUCGAACGGAAAGGCCUGCUUUCCCUUGUGGAUUGCGGGUACUCGAGUGGCGAACGGGUGAGUAACACGUGAGUGAUCUGCCCCCAACUUGGGUAUAAGCCUGGGAAACUGUGUCUAAUUCCCGAUAGGACUGCAGGGUGGUGCCUGUGGUGGAAAACGAUUUUCUAGUGGUUGGGGAUGAGCUCGCGGCCUAUCAGCUUGUUGGUGGGGUAAUGGCCUACCAAGGCGGCGACGGGUAGCCGGCCUGAGAGGGUGGACGGCCACAUUGGGACUGAGAUACGGCCCAGACUCAUACGGGAGGCAGCAGUGGGGAAUAGUGCACAAUGGGCGGAAGCCUGAUGCAGCGACGCCGCGUGGGGGAUGACGGCCUUCGGGUUGUAAACUCCUUUCGACCGCGAGGAAGCCACCUGGUUGGAAGGGUGGUGACGGUAGUGGUAGAAGAAGCACCGGCUAACUACGUG
Molecule: ribosomal RNA, 494 nt
Filed under: uncultured bacterium
Lineage: Bacteria
Description: partial 16S ribosomal RNA
Rfam family: Bacterial small subunit ribosomal RNA
Source: RNAcentral